AUGGGGGGAGGGUUAAUGGAUUAUGAUUUUUCUCUUUUUUUUUUUAAAUAUUGGUUGGCAAAGGCUGAUGUCCAUGAGUCAUGCGCAGAGACUAGGGAAAACAAAGUCUCUUUUUCUCAGUCCAAGGAUUUGCCAGUUCCUGUAUGCCAAUGGGGUUUGUGCUCUGGCUCACUGUCGGUGCCUUCAGGGAAGCUGAUGCUCUGAGCAGGUUAUGUGCUAGCUCGGAAGACCUCUAUUGCAAGGCAGGAGCGUAAUGAGAAGGGGAGCAGCGAAGGUAAGCAUGGUCCCUGUUUGCUGCUCUCCUGAGGUGUGUCUGCCUCGGAGGGAAGCGGUGCUGAAUCAGUGCCCCAGACUGCUGGUGACUCAGGUGGCAAAAAGCACACGUUGUUUUCUUCCACGCCUGAAACAUUGCGGUGGAUUUCCUGUAAUGGGGUUUUGCCUCCUGUAGGGAACAGUUUGUCAUCCUUUUCCUCUCCUAUGGACAAAGAGCAGCUGGGUUCUCAGGGAGCACAGGCAGGCGUUGGCUGGAGCCCUUCUCGUCCUGGCAUCCUUUUCUGAGUGCCCAGCCUGCUAGAGGAGAGGGGUCUUGGGAGGCUCGGUACUUCUGAGCGGGAGAAUUGUGUUUUCAGGGAGCUCCUGUGGCUUCUUCAAAGGGGAGUUUUGUUCUUUGCUGCUCAGUCACAGACGUGCUGGGGUGUGUGCAUGUGUGAAGGAUCUGAAAUGCUGGCUAAACAGAUGGAAACUUGAUUUACCCCAGUGCCCUCAACUGUACCCCUCCCUCAGUCUCACCUCUCUCUUUUUUUCCUUUUUUUUUUUUUUUCUUCCAAGAUGGGGCAAGUUAACGUAGCUGCAGAUGCUAUCUGUUGAGCUUGAUGAGAUUCUCAUGCAAAUCUGGAGGCUGUGCUCUCCUGUCAGGUCUGCUUGCCUGUAUAAUCCCCUAUUUUACUGCAAAGGGGUCUAUUUUUUACUGCAAUUGGGUUUAUUUUUAGCCAAGGCUUUCCCUGUCUAAUGGGCAAAAGUUCAGUGUUUGCAGUGAGAUUUGCAGAAGAAGCAAUUUCACCAAAUACACGGGAUGGGGGAAGGGAGGGAGAGGGGGAGAGAGGAAAUGUAUUAGCUAGCAAAAAAGCUAAAUGCUGAUUUGGAAACACG
This 1149-nucleotide long non-coding RNA is filed under the name Anas platyrhynchos (mallard). Its description in RNAcentral is "lncRNA (ENSAPLG00020000775.1)". Lineage: Eukaryota; Metazoa; Chordata; Aves; Anseriformes; Anatidae. The record is from RNAcentral.